GCCACAACCAGAGGAAGCUGGAGCUGCUGUGAAGAUUAAAAGGAUUCAUCUUUAGCUUUAAUCUCCUGUUGACUGGGCUGUGUCCUUCAAAAAGGUGCAGGAGGUUCCUGUUCCGACUGGUAACGUCUGGGAGGCAGAGUAGAACGCCUGGAACGAUGCAUAGCUGCACUGGUGAUGACAGAACUGCUAAGAAAAACUGCUUCAGCCAGGAUCCGGAGAAGAAGAGGAAGUUGCAAGGGAGAACUUGGCUUAUCUACU
Bombina bombina (fire-bellied toad) is the source of this 258-nucleotide long non-coding RNA. RefSeq lists it as uncharacterized. Lineage: Eukaryota; Metazoa; Chordata; Amphibia; Anura; Bombinatoridae. The transcript is spliced from 3 exons. The record is from RefSeq and is a predicted model, not a curated record.